Molecule: ribosomal RNA, 253 nt
Filed under: uncultured bacterium
Lineage: Bacteria
Description: partial 16S ribosomal RNA
Rfam family: Bacterial small subunit ribosomal RNA
Source: RNAcentral
UACGUAGGGCGCAAGCGUUGUCCGGAAUUAUUGGGCGUAAAGAGCUCGUAGGCGGCCAGUUGCGUCUGCUGUGAAAUCCCGGGGCUCAACCCCGGGCGUGCAGUGGAUACGGGCUGGCUAGAGGCAGGCAGGGGAGAACGGAAUUCCCGGUGUAGCGGUGAAAUGCGCAGAUAUCGGGAGGAACACCGGUGGCGAAGGCGGUUCUCUGGGCCUGUACUGACGCCGAGGAGCGAAAGCGUGGGGAGCGAACAGG